UGCAUCCAAAACGAUAAAAGCCCUGCCUCUCUUCUAUCCUUGCGGCUCCAAUGACCGCUCCAGUGUGAAUCGGAAAAUCUACAGCUUC
Molecule: small RNA, 88 nt
Filed under: Paenibacillus stellifer
Lineage: Bacteria; Bacillati; Bacillota; Bacilli; Caryophanales; Paenibacillaceae
Description: BsrC
Rfam family: BsrC
About the family: The 301 nucleotide sequence from Kouji Nakamura has been trimmed to a highly conserved ~85 nucleotide long core to form this family.
Source: Rfam by way of RNAcentral